CAGGGAUAAAUGGUGGGACCUCUGUUAUUUGUGUGAUGUAUAUAGAUGACUUGGACAAAAAUGUAGAUGGGUUGGGUAGUUUGCAGAUUGCA
Molecule: long non-coding RNA, 92 nt
Organism: Amblyraja radiata (thorny skate)
Lineage: Eukaryota; Metazoa; Chordata; Chondrichthyes; Rajiformes; Rajidae
Exons: 4
Source: RefSeq, a predicted model, not a curated record